GACGAACGCUGGCGGCGUGCUUAACACAUGCAAGUCGAACGGAAAGGCCCUGCUUUUGUGGGGUGCUCGAGUGGCGAACGGGUGAGUAACACGUGAGUAACCUGCCCUUGACUUUGGGAUAACUUCAGGAAACUGGGGCUAAUACCGGAUAGGAGCUCCUGCUGCAUGGUGGGGGUUGGAAAGUUUCGGCGGUUGGGGAUGGACUCGCGGCUUAUCAGCUUGUUGGUGGGGUAGUGGCUUACCAAGGCUUUGACGGGUAGCCGGCCUGAGAGGGUGACCGGCCACAUUGGGACUGAGAUACGGCCCAGACUCCUACGGGAGGCAGCAGUGGGGAAUAUUGCACAAUGGGCGGAAGCCUGAUGCAGCAACGCCGCGUGCGGGAUGACGGUCUUCGGGUUGUAAACCGCUUUCGCCUGUGACGAAGCGUGAGUGACGGUAAUGGGUAAAGAAGCACCGGCUAACUACGUGCCAGCAGCCGCGGUGAUACGUAGGGUGCGAGCGUUGUCCGGAUUUAUUGGGCGUAAAGGGCUCGUAGGUGGUUGAUCGCGUCGGAAGUGUAAUCUUGGGGCUUAACCCUGAGCGUGCUUUCGAUACGGGUUGACUUGAGGAAGGUAGGGGAGAAUGGAAUUCCUGGUGGAGCGGUGGAAUGCGCAGAUAUCAGGAGGAACACCAGUGGCGAAGGCGGUUCUCUGGGCCUUUCCUGACGCUGAGGAGCGAAAGCGUGGGGAGCGAACAGGCUUAGAUACCCUGGUAGUCCACGCUGUAAACGGUGGGUACUAGGUGUGGGGUCCAUUCCACGGGUUCCGUGCCGUAGCUAACGCUUUAAGUACCCCGCCUGGGGAGUACGGCCGCAAGGCUAAAACUCAAAGGAAUUGACGGGGCCCCGCACAAGCGGCGGAGCAUGCGGAUUAAUUCGAUGCAACGCGUAGAACCUUACCUGGGUUUGACAUGGAUCGGGAGUGCUCAGAGAUGGGUGUGCCUCUUUUGGGGUCGGUUCACAGGUGGUGCAUGCCUGUCGUCAGCUCGUGUCGUGAGAUGUUGGGUUAAGUCCCGCAACGAGCGCAACCCUUGUUCACUGUUGCCAGCACGUUAUGGUGGGGACUCAGUGGAGACCGCCGGGGUCAACUCGGAGGAAGGUGGGGAUGACGUCAAGUCAUCAUGCCCCUUAUGUCCAGGGCUUCACGCAUGCUACAAUGGCUGGUACAGAGAGUGGCGAGCCUGUGAGGGUGAGCGAAUCUCGGAAAGCCGGUCUCAGUUCGGAUUGGGGUCUGCAACUCGACCUCAUGAAGUCGGAGUCGCUAGUAAUCGCAGAUCAGCAACGCUGCGGUGAAUACGUUCCCGGGGCU
This 1346-nucleotide ribosomal RNA is filed under the name uncultured bacterium. RNAcentral describes it as "partial 16S ribosomal RNA". It matches the Rfam family "Bacterial small subunit ribosomal RNA", at positions 28 to 1381 of the family's 1533-position model. The record is from RNAcentral.